Molecule: ribosomal RNA, 210 nt
Filed under: uncultured bacterium
Lineage: Bacteria
Description: partial 16S ribosomal RNA
Rfam family: Bacterial small subunit ribosomal RNA
Source: RNAcentral
UACGUAGGGUGCAAGCGUUAAUCGGAAUUACUGGGCGUAAAGCGUGCGCAGGCGGUUUUGUAAGUCUGUCGUGAAAGCCCCGGGCUCAACCUGGGAAUUGCGAUGGAGACUGCAAGGCUUGAAUCUGGCAGAGGGGGGUAGAAUUCCACGUGUAGCAGUGAAAUGCGUAGAGAUGUGGAGGAACACCGAUGGCGAAGGCAGCCCCCUGGG